GGAGGGAUGGCAGAGUGGCCGAAUGCACCGGUCUUGAAAACCGGCAACGGUUUAUCCCGUUCUAGGGUUCAAAUCCCUAUCCCUCCGCCA
This 90-nucleotide transfer RNA is filed under the name Shewanella polaris. RNAcentral's name for it is "tRNA-Ser". It matches the Rfam family "tRNA". From Rfam's summary of the family: Transfer RNA (tRNA) molecules are approximately 80 nucleotides in length. Their secondary structure includes four short double-helical elements and three loops (D, anti-codon, and T loops). The record is from RNAcentral. RNAcentral also lists the same sequence under 1 other name. Lineage: Bacteria; Pseudomonadati; Pseudomonadota; Gammaproteobacteria; Alteromonadales; Shewanellaceae.